RNAcentral lists this ribosomal RNA (541 nucleotides) under uncultured bacterium. RNAcentral's name for it is "bacterial SSU rRNA". It matches the Rfam family "Bacterial small subunit ribosomal RNA", at positions 119 to 674 of the family's 1533-position model. The record is from RNAcentral.
GAGCAACCUGCCCCUGGCUCUGGGACAACCACUGGAAACGGUGGCUAAUACCGGAUACGACCCGCCUCGGCAUCGAGUGUGGGUGGAAAGUUUUUCGGCUGGGGAUGGGCUCGCGGCCUAUCAGCUUGUUGGUGGGGUGAUGGCCUACCAAGGCGACGACGGGUAGCCGGCCUGAGAGGGCGACCGGCCACACUGGGACUGAGACACGGCCCAGACUCCUACGGGAGGCAGCAGUGGGGAAUAUUGCACAAUGGGCGAAAGCCUGAUGCAGCGACGCCGCGUGAGGGAUGACGGCCUUCGGGUUGUAAACCUCUUUCAGCUCCGAAGAAGCGCAAGUGACGGUAGGAGCAGAAGAAGCACCGGCUAACUACGUGCCAGCAGCCGCGGUAAUACGUAGGGUGCAAGCGUUGUCCGGAAUUAUUGGGCGUAAAGAGCUCGUAGGCGGUGUGUCGCGUCUGCUGUGAAAACUCAGGGCUCAACUCUGAGCUUGCAGUGGGUACGGGCACACUUGAGUGCUGUAGGGGAGACUGGAAUUCCUGGU